RNAcentral lists this ribosomal RNA (279 nucleotides) under uncultured bacterium. Its description in RNAcentral is "partial 16S ribosomal RNA". It matches the Rfam family "Bacterial small subunit ribosomal RNA", at positions 506 to 784 of the family's 1533-position model. The record is from RNAcentral.
GGCCAGCAGCCGCGGUAAUACGGAGGGUGCUAGCGUUGUUCGGAAUCACUGGGCGUAAAGCGCGUGUAGGCGGCCAAUUAAGUCUGGUGUGAAAGCCCGGGGCUCACCCCCGGAAGUGCGCUGGAAACUGAUUGGCUAGAGUAUGGGAGAGGGAAGCGGAAUUCCUGGUGUAGCGGUGAAAUGCGUAGAUAUCAGGAGGAACACCGGCGGCGAAGGCGGCUUCCUGGACCAAUACUGACGCUGAGACGCGAAAGCGUGGGGAGCAAACAGGAUUAGAUA